AGGUUUAGCAAUCCUAACCGACUCAACCUAAUUAGUCAACCUCCUCCCCAAAAUCAACCUACCUCCCCAAAAUCAACUGCUCACCCAGAUAAUCGCUCAACCUCUCGGAAUCCCUCAAUUUCGUCUAUAGUAUGUUAGCUAAAGCGAUCCCCUCAAUUUUGUCUAUAAUCUAUUAGAAAUCCUCUCAUUUUUUGCAAUAUAUAAUGAUGGGAAUCCUAGAUUGAUUGUCUUCACAAAUCCCCAAAGAUAACCAUCUCAAGCUUCUACAAAUUAGUGUAGAAAUUCGCUCUGAGUUGUGGGUUUUAGGAGUUACAGCUUCUUUGGUUUGUCAGAAAGUUCGCCCAAUUCACUCGAAGAAAAUCUCGAAGAGGGUGAUAGACUGAAAGAGAAUGCUGAAGAGAGAGUCUAAGAUAGACAUGUUAUUCAGACCAAAUUUGAAACUUUUUCCUCUGGGAUAGUGGGGCAACCCCUUGCUAAUUAAUAAAUCAGCUUCCACUUGGGACUUUGGGAGUUUAUUCUGGUUGUAUCUAGUUUUAGUCCAGAAAGUUACUUGUAGCUGGUGAAUUGAAAAGAAAGAGAAGCCACACAGUUGUUUGUUAAUAGUUCAUGAUAGGAAUUCUGGGAAUCUUGCUCAAAACUGGCAACUUAGUGUAUCUGGUUGAUACCGGUUAUGAUUCACAACAGAACUCAGAUAAAUCUUAGGAUAUUGAUCCAAUUUCAGAAGGUGGGCGAUUUUGGGCUGGCGAGGUGGCAACCUGAUGGAGACACUGGGGUCGAAACAAGAGUGAUAGGCACAUUUGGGUAACUAGCUCCAGAGUACGCACAAACUGGACAAAUCACAGAAAAGGCAGAUGUCUAUUCCUUCGGUGUUGUACUUGUUGAGCUUCUAACAGGAAGAAAGGUUGUUGAUCUAACUCGAUGCAAAGGCCAGCAGUGCCUUACUGAAUGGGCACGACCCCUUAUGGAAGAAGGUGCUAUUGAGGAGCUAAUCGACCCUCGUCUUGAUAACCGGUAUUUAGAACCAGAAGUCAUUUGCCUUAUGCAUGCUGCAUCCUUGUGCAUUCGACGAGACCCUCACUCCAGACCUCGGAUGUCACAGGCCCCAGGAAUCCUUCCACACCAUCUCCCAGAGUUGCAUGUAGAAAGCUUGUAUCUUCUUUCCGAUGCCACUCUCUUAAAAAGAUAGAAGAAGUUGAUAUUGACACUGAGCAAUUGCAGCAACCAGAUGAUAGUCCUUCUCGGGACUUAAAUUGUAUAUGUAGCUCAUAUUUGUUUGACAUGGGAAGCACUUCACAGUCUAUGCACACGGAAGAGGCAGAAUGUCAGGCUAAGAAUCCUUCUUGUUAUAACCACUAUGCACAGCUAUAUCGGCAGUUUGAGUGGUUGUUGCAGACACUUAUUGAAAAUAAGCCUUUUGAGCAGGUCCAAGAGUAGAAGCCGAGAUUCUUUGUCCAAGCCACUACAGGUUCGAAGGUGCAAGGUAAGAUCCCGUUCAGACAUCAAUCUUGACCUUCUACACAUUCUUGAGGAUGGACAAGAAAAAAGCCGGUGGGGUUUGCUAUCUGUUUAGAAGUCAGAACCAAAUGACUACGCCUCUCCAACAAGUUCAAUCACUUGCAGAAAAGGUAUUGAAUGUCAAAUUCAAGUUUAUUCUUAGCAUGCAAUGGAAGUAAACAUUAGUUGUAAGAAUUUAUAAAUUUACAAGUGCCCUUGAUAGUUUGACUUCCUACAUGAUUAUACAUUCAGGAACAUGUCUAGUGCAUCAUAAACAUAAUAUUAGAUAAUAAUCUUGAUGAUAAUAUUUUAGAUAAUAACCUUGAUGAUAAUCUUGAUGAUCUUAAUAAAAUAUGAUGUUCCUUUAGGGAUCUUAAUAAGAGCACACAUUAUCAUCGAACAAUAAAAUAUGAUGUUCCUUUAGGGAUCAGAAACAUCAUAAACAACAUAAGGGUAUAAUCUAAUAGGUGUGCAAAAUUACAUAAUCAUCAAGGUUAAUUUAAUUAUAUGCUGGCAGCUAUUGGUAUUAAAUACUAGCAUUUCGACUUUCCAUUAUCUUUCACAAAGAGAGGUUUGAUUUGGGAUAAGUGAGAGUGAAUGCUAGGUAGAGCAUAGUUGAUCUUAUUGAUGCCAUUUGCUUUUGUUCUUGUGUUGUCAAAUGUUUUAGUAUGGAGAUGAAUGUUGAAUAUGGCCCGAGUUAUGGACGGUGAUUAUGAUGUAUUGUUGGUCCUUUUGAUGAUAUUUAAUCUGUAUUAUUAUUUCAAUUCGCUUAUUUGACUGUUUCAUUUUUACAAGCUAAGGGAUUUGAUUUUUAUUUCAAUUCACUUAUUCUUUAUCAUUUAUCUCUCACCAACAGAAAAAUAUAUAAUAAGUUUCAGGAUCCUUACAGAGCUCCUGCAUGAAUCAAGCACAGAGAUAUCGGUGUUUACAAGGUUUUCUGCACAGUUGAUGCUCUCUCGUUUCCUUUUAAAAGGAAAAGAAAUACUCUAUUGUUGCUUCAUAAACUCAAGUUAGUUACUGCAUUUUCCUAUUUCCUUACAGAUUUUUGGUACCUGAAUAUCACUCUUGCUCACUUAUUUCAGGUUUUGGACAAUUAUGUCUUGGAGAAUUCCUGUAGUGAAAAAGGUGUUAUAAUGUCUGUCAAUGGUGUUGGUAUAGAAAUGCAUCAUGGGGAUUCCCGGUUUCUACAGCUGGAUCUAAAACUACUGUCCGCAAGAAAGCCGAACUCUUAUAAGUCAGUAACAUCUCCGUCCUAGCUAGAUUAGUAACUAUGUGUGUGCUCUUCUCUGUAGCCGACACUACUGAUUCUUCCAUUAAGAAAUAGACCAUCUGAACAGAAGAGCUGGAUUUUAUGAUGGACAAAGUCGGAUAUUGUUGAUUCAAGUGUAAAUGGUAAAAUGUGAUCAAGAGAUCAACAAGUUAUCUUAAAACAAGCUAGCACGGGGAUAAGAUUUACUCGGUUAAUUAGUCCUAGUUAAUUAGGAAGUUAUUUGGACUAUCUUGAUUAAUGUAUAAAAAAUCAUGCGAGGAAUUGUUUUUAUUUCAGCUUCAUUAGAAGUACGGUGCAAAUUAUCGUACGGAUGGUAUUAUCACUAUUUGUAUGUUACAUUAUUGCUAAUAAAUUAAAGCAGCUUUAUGAUAA
Spinacia oleracea (spinach) is the source of this 3136-nucleotide long non-coding RNA. RefSeq lists it as uncharacterized. The record is from RefSeq and is a predicted model, not a curated record. NCBI's taxonomy places the organism in Eukaryota, Viridiplantae, Streptophyta, Magnoliopsida, Caryophyllales, Amaranthaceae. The transcript is spliced from 8 exons.